RNAcentral lists this ribosomal RNA (468 nucleotides) under uncultured bacterium. Its description in RNAcentral is "partial 16S ribosomal RNA". It matches the Rfam family "Bacterial small subunit ribosomal RNA", at positions 28 to 507 of the family's 1533-position model. The record is from RNAcentral.
GACGAACGCUGGCGGCGUGCUUAACACAUGCAAGUCGAACGGAAAGGCCCUGCCUUUGUGGGGUGCUCGAGUGGCGAACGGGUGAGUAACACGUGAGUAACCUGCCCUUGACUUUGGGAUAACUUCAGGAAACUGGGGCUAAUACCGGAUAGGAGCUCCUGCUGCAUGGUGGGGGUUGGAAAGUUUCGGCGGUUGGGGAUGGACUCGCGGCUUAUCAGCUUGUUGGUGGGGUAGUGGCUUACCAAGGCUUUGACGGGUAGCCGGCCUGAGAGGGUGACCGGCCACAUUGGGACUGAGAUACGGCCCAGACUCCUACGGGAGGCAGCAGUGGGGAAUAUUGCACAAUGGGCGGAAGCCUGAUGCAGCAACGCCGCGUGCGGGAUGACGGCCUUCGGGUUGUAAACCGCUUUCGCCUGUGACGAAGCGCGAGUGACGGUAAUGGGUAAAGAAGCACCGGCUAACUACGUG